GCGGGGGUCCCCAAGUGGACAAAGGGGCCAGACACUGGCUAGACUUAAGCUCUGGUGCUGUAGAGCUUCGAGGGUUCGAAUCCCUCCCCCCGCA
This 94-nucleotide transfer RNA is filed under the name Candidatus Thorarchaeota archaeon. Its description in RNAcentral is "tRNA-Leu". It matches the Rfam family "tRNA". From Rfam's summary of the family: Transfer RNA (tRNA) molecules are approximately 80 nucleotides in length. Their secondary structure includes four short double-helical elements and three loops (D, anti-codon, and T loops). RNAcentral also lists the same sequence under 1 other name. The record is from RNAcentral. Lineage: Archaea; Promethearchaeati; Candidatus Thorarchaeota.